CUACGGGUCGCACCAGUGAGGAAUAUUGCACAAUGGGGGGAACCCUGAUGCAGCAACGCCGCGUGGAGGAUGACGCAUUUCGGUGUGUAAACUCCUUUUAUAUGUCAAGAAAAUGACGGUAGCAUAUGAAUAAGCACCGGCUAACUCCGUGCCAGCAGCCGCGGUCAUACGGAGGGUGCAAGCGUUACUCGGAAUCACUGGGCGUAAAGGACGCGUAGGCGGGUUGGAAAGUCAGGUGUGAAAUCCUACAGCUUAACUGUAGAACUGCACUUGAAACUUCUAAUCUAGAGUAUGGGAGGGGGAGAUGGAAUUAGUGGUGGAGGGGUAAAAUCCGUAGAUAUCACUAGGAAUACCUAAGCGAAGGCGAUCUCCUGGAACAUUACUGACGCGAAGGCGUGAAAGCGUGGGGAGCAAACAGGAUUAGAUACCCCUGUAGUC
RNAcentral lists this ribosomal RNA (438 nucleotides) under uncultured bacterium. Its description in RNAcentral is "partial 16S ribosomal RNA". It matches the Rfam family "Bacterial small subunit ribosomal RNA", at positions 339 to 795 of the family's 1533-position model. The record is from RNAcentral.